AAAUUAUUUCAGCUGCUUAUGGUGAGGUGCUGUGGACUGGUCUGCAAGCAGUCGCCGUUCUGAGGAAACUAUGUCCAUGUCAAGAAUUUCUCCUACUGGGGCAUCAUCGCUCACCGCCACUGGCAAACACGCAGCUGAAGACUUACAGAGAUAGAGUGCAGGAGAAAGGAUGGAGUGGGCAUGUACCAGGUGACAAGUCAUGGGACACAGAAAUGGGAAGUUGAGGAACAGGGAAGUUCUGAGAUGCCCAGCAUCUGGUAGUCAAGCCAUCAGGGUCCAUGACACCAUUUUUUUCCCAUCAGUUGAGUAAUCCAGCCGCUCACGGGGCUGCUGUCAGCAGAAUCUUCUUUCCAUCGUCUCUUGAAAACCAAUGAUGUGCCCAGCUCCGGGGUGAUGAUGGCUUUUGCCCUAUUUUCCGUGUUUUCUUCAAAUCCUGCUGAGUAACC
Globicephala melas (long-finned pilot whale) is the source of this 446-nucleotide long non-coding RNA. RefSeq lists it as uncharacterized. The record is from RefSeq and is a predicted model, not a curated record. Lineage: Eukaryota; Metazoa; Chordata; Mammalia; Artiodactyla; Delphinidae.